GGUGGUGCAUGGUUGUCGUCAGCUCGUGUCGUGAGAUGUUGGGUUAAGUCCCGCAACGAGCGCAACCCUUAAGCUUAGUUGCCAGCAUUCAGUUGGGCACUCUAAGGUGACUGCCGGUGACAAACCGGAGGAAGGUGGGGAUGACGUCAAAUCAUCAUGCCCCUUAUGACCUGGGCUACACACGUGCUACAAUGGACGGUACAAACGGUUGCCAACCCGUGAGGGGGAGCUAAUCCGAUAAAACCGUUCUCAGUUCGGAUUGUAGGCUGCAACUCGCCUACAUGAAGCCGGAAUCGCUAGUAAUCGUGGAUCAGCAUGCCACGGUGAAUACGUUCCCGGGUCUUGUACACAC
RNAcentral lists this ribosomal RNA (352 nucleotides) under uncultured bacterium. Its description in RNAcentral is "bacterial SSU rRNA". It matches the Rfam family "Bacterial small subunit ribosomal RNA", at positions 1037 to 1390 of the family's 1533-position model. The record is from RNAcentral.